GCUCAUGUAGUUCUCUUCAUACUUGUUAAUGUAUUGGAUAUAUUCUUGAAUGUAUACGGACAGCCAACAGUUAUUCUUAUCGGUAAUUCCAGCGUUACACAGGGUGAUCAAGCAUAUUUGAAAUCUACCGUAAUACCUGAGAUUAAUAUCACAUCUGUGUUGUGGCAAAAAAUAUCAAAUGUUGACGUCAGAAAUAUUUCAGUUGAUCCGCCAAAAUACGAGCAGAGUCAGGUGACUUCAGGUGGAACUAUUGUACUCACGCUGAAAAUAAGCAACGUGAGUGCUGAUGACGAGGUUAAUUACAGGGUUGUUGUUGAGAGUGAUGGAAAAUCUUAUGUAAGCAAUCAACAUGCACUGGGCGUACACGAAGAUGCCUCAAACUGCGAACCUGGUAAAUAUGGAGAUAAUUGUGAAAAAGUAUGCUCUGGAAACUGCGCCAACAACGCGAUAUGUGACCCGACAUCCGGUAUCUGUCCGGGGGACUGCACAGAAGGCUGGGAGGGACAAUUGUGUG
Molecule: long non-coding RNA, 514 nt
Organism: Saccostrea cuccullata (small rock oyster)
Lineage: Eukaryota; Metazoa; Mollusca; Bivalvia; Ostreida; Ostreidae
Exons: 3
Source: RefSeq, a predicted model, not a curated record